Molecule: ribosomal RNA, 478 nt
Filed under: uncultured bacterium
Lineage: Bacteria
Description: partial 16S ribosomal RNA
Rfam family: Bacterial small subunit ribosomal RNA
Source: RNAcentral
GAUGAACGCUGGCGGCGUGCCUAACACAUGCAAGUCGAACGGAGUCCAGCCUUUAAGACCUUCGGGUCAAAGAGGGGAAGACUGAGUGGCGGACGGGUGAGUAACACGUGGGCAACCUGGCUCAUAGAGGGGGAUAACAGAGAGAAAUUUCUGCUAAUACCGCAUAAGCACACACUGCCGUAUGGCAGAGGGUGAAAAGAGAAUCGCUAUGAGAUGGACCCGCGUCUGAUUAGCCAGUUGGCAGGGUAAGAGCCUACCAAAGCGACGAUCAGUAGCCGAUCUGAGAGGAUGAACGGCCACAUUGGGACUGAGACACGGCCCAAACUCCUACGGGAGGCAGCAGUGGGGGAUAUUGCACAAUGGGGGGAACCCUGAUGCAGCGACGCCGCGUGAGUGAAGAAGUAUUUCGGUAUGUAAAGCUCUAUCAGCAGGGAAGAUAAUGACAGUACCUGAAGAAGAAGCCCCGGCUAACUACGUG